RNAcentral lists this ribosomal RNA (461 nucleotides) under uncultured bacterium. RNAcentral describes it as "bacterial SSU rRNA". It matches the Rfam family "Bacterial small subunit ribosomal RNA", at positions 77 to 518 of the family's 1533-position model. The record is from RNAcentral.
GCUUCCACUGAGAAGAUAGUGGCGAACGGGUGAGUAACACGUGGGUAACCUAGCCCACUAAGAGGGGGGAUAACAUCCGGAAACGGGUGCUAAUACCGCAUAGUUUUCUUGAUCGCAUGAUCGGGAAAGGAAAGACGGCCUUUGUGCUGUCGCUUAUGGAUGGACCCGCGGCGUAUUAGUUAGUUGGUGAGGUAACGGCUCACCAAGACGAUGAUACGUAGCCGACCUGAGAGGGUGAUCGGCCACAUUGGGACUGAGACACGGCCCAAACUCCUACGGGAGGCAGCAGUAGGGAAUCUUCCGCAAUGGACGAAAGUCUGACGGAGCAACGCCGCGUGAGUGAAGAAAGGUUUUCGGAUCGUAAAACUCUGUUGUCAGAGAAGAACAAGUUGGAGAGUAACUGCUCCAGCCUUGACGGUAUCUGACCAGAAAGCCACGGCUAACUACGUGCCAGCCGCUGC